RNAcentral lists this ribosomal RNA (593 nucleotides) under Paracoccus contaminans. Its description in RNAcentral is "bacterial SSU rRNA". Lineage: Bacteria; Pseudomonadati; Pseudomonadota; Alphaproteobacteria; Rhodobacterales; Paracoccaceae. The record is from RNAcentral.
AGUCGAGCGCCCGCAAGGGAGCGGCGGACGGGUGAGUAACGCGUGGGAAUGUGCCCUUCUCUACGGAAUAGCCUCGGGAAACUGAGRGUAAUACCGUAUACGCCCUAUUGGGGAAAGAUUUAUCGGAGAAGGAUCAGCCCGCGUUGGAUUAGGUAGUUGGUGGGGUAAUGGCCUACCAAGCCGACGAUCCAUAGCUGGUUUGAGAGGAUGAUCAGCCACACUGGGACUGAGACACGGCCCAGACUCCUACGGGAGGCAGCAGUGGGGAAUCUUAGACAAUGGGGGCAACCCUGAUCUAGCCAUGCCGCGUGAGUGAUGAAGGCCUUAGGGUUGUAAAGCUCUUUCAGCUGGGAAGAUAAUGACGGUACCAGCAGAAGAAGCCCCGGCUAACUCCGUGCCAGCAGCCGCGGUAAUACGGAGGGGGCUAGCGUUGUUCGGAAUUACUGGGCGUAAAGCGCACGUAGGCGGACCAGAAAGUUGGGGGUGAAAUCCCGGGGCUCAACCUCGGAACUGCCUUCAAAACUAUUGGUCUGGAGUUCGAGAGAGGUGAGUGGAAUUCCGAGUGUAGAGGUGAAAUUCGUAGAUAUUCGGAG